RNAcentral lists this unclassified non-coding RNA (334 nucleotides) under fungal sp. RNAcentral describes it as "partial internal transcribed spacer region". The record is from RNAcentral. Lineage: Eukaryota; Fungi.
AAGUCGUAACAAGGUUUCCGUAGGUGACCUGCGUAAGGAUCAUUAACACGUAUCCCACGUUAAACAACCCUGUGCCAUUCCUGCUCUCCUUGUCCGUUGAGAAAGCAAUCCCUGGUAAAUCACACGAACAGUUUGAUUCAGGGACCUCUUUUGAUGACGCACUUGGAUUCGAUGCGGCGUCGUAAUUUAGACUUGGUUCUGGAAGCUGCCUAACAAGCAGAUCACUGAUCCUUACGGUCAGUGGACAAGUCUCUGGGCUUCGGCCCCCCAUAUGGAGGAUGCGGAAACGCUCCAUAAAAACGAACAACUGUUAACAAUGGAUAUCUUGGUUCUC